This 59-nucleotide non-coding RNA is filed under the name unclassified sequences. Its description in RNAcentral is "terC RNA". It matches the Rfam family "terC RNA". The record is from RNAcentral.
CAUUCGAGCCGGGCCCCUCUUGGCAGGCAAGGCGUUGCCUGCGAUGUCGGUUCGCAAUG